UACGGAGGGUGCAAGCGUUAUCCGGAUUCACUGGGUUUAAAGGGUGCGUAGGCGGGUUGGUAAGUCAGUGGUGAAAUCUCCAGGCUUAACUUGGAAACUGCCAUUGAUACUAUCAAUCUUGAAUACCGUGGAGGUCAGCGGAAUAUGUCAUGUAGCGGUGAAAUGCUUAGAUAUGACAUAGAACACCAAUUGCGAAGGCAGCAGGCUACGCAUAUAUUGACGCUGAGGCACGAAAGCGUGGGGAUCAAACAGG
This 253-nucleotide ribosomal RNA is filed under the name uncultured bacterium. Its description in RNAcentral is "partial 16S ribosomal RNA". It matches the Rfam family "Bacterial small subunit ribosomal RNA", at positions 524 to 776 of the family's 1533-position model. The record is from RNAcentral.